GAGAGGAUAGCUCAGUGGUAGACCGUAUGCCUAGCAUGCACAAGGUCCUGGGUUCAAUCCCCAGUACUUCCA
RNAcentral lists this transfer RNA (72 nucleotides) under Camelus ferus (Wild Bactrian camel). It matches the Rfam family "tRNA". From Rfam's summary of the family: Transfer RNA (tRNA) molecules are approximately 80 nucleotides in length. Their secondary structure includes four short double-helical elements and three loops (D, anti-codon, and T loops). Lineage: Eukaryota; Metazoa; Chordata; Mammalia; Artiodactyla; Camelidae. The record is from Rfam by way of RNAcentral.